This 561-nucleotide ribosomal RNA is filed under the name Triticum aestivum (bread wheat). Its description in RNAcentral is "partial small subunit ribosomal RNA". The record is from RNAcentral. Lineage: Eukaryota; Viridiplantae; Streptophyta; Magnoliopsida; Poales; Poaceae.
AUGGGCCCAUGGCGGCCGCACCCUCGCCGCCACGCCCUCGCCUCUCCCUCCGGCAUCUUGGAGACGUCCGCCCGAGGGAUCCAGCCUCCGCUCCCCCCGGAAUCCCGCCGCCUCCCCGCAAAGCUCUCGCGCCCGUCGCCAGAGCCGCGUGCGCGCCGGCGCCGGCGCGAGGCGGCGGUGACGCGACGGAGGAGCCGGGCCAGGCGCCCGGCGACUGGGCGCGCUCCUGGGCUCCGCCGCCCUGCUCGGCUGCCGCCGAGGACUCCAUCAAGGCGUCCGGGUUCGGGCUGCGGAGCCUCGGCUGGCCCGACGAUGCCGUCGUGGUCACACCUGCCACAUCGCCGGUGCUCGAGCUGUGGGGAGCAAUUCCGGCCGGCUGACUGUCCUAGCAGUUUUGAGAGUAAAAAGGACCGGAGGGAGUACUACUCGGCUUUGGAGCCCGGCAGGAAGAUCACCGGAGCCCAGCCCCAGACCUGCGUCUCCAUCCUCCUCUGUCGCCUGCCUGCAGCCUGCGUGUUACUGUUCCCCAACCCCAAUCCCAACGGAAGCCAGGGAAGGUAA